CUGUCCUCAAAUUUCCCUUCCCUUUUUGGUAGCCACCAAAAUCCUCCAUGUUCAUAUUUUGCAAAUCCUAUCUUCAUCACUUCGCAAUCUUCUUCCUCUUCAUAGUUGUCAAAUUUCUCUCAAUUUCAGUCUCUGGCUACACCUUCUUCCCAGCUGAUUACAUUCUUGUUGACUGUGGUGCCUCUGGCAACUCAACAAGCCUUGAUGGCCGACAGUGGACAGGAGAUGUUGGGUCAAAAUUUAUUUCCUUAAAUGAUUCAAUUGAUACAAGCUCAUCCUCUAAAGCCCUUGAUCUACCCACAUCUGCUUACCCUGUCCCGUACAGGACUGUUAGAAUUUUUCAUUCUCAAUUGAUAUACGCUUUUCAUGUUAGUUCAGGCCAGAAAUUUAUACGCUUGUACUUCAACCCCACUUCAGUCCAGGAGCUCAAUAGGUCUAAGGCCUUUUUCAAUGUUACAACUGGUCCCUUCACCCUCCUUAGUAACUUCAGCCUUUCCUCUUUCGCUGAUUCCUUUGUUAAAGAAUUCUGCAUAAACAUAGGAGAGAAUCAGGUUUUGAAUGUAACUUUUAGUCCUGACACUUCAAAUGGUGCAUAUGGGAUUAUCAGUGGAAUAGAGAUUGUGUCCAUGCCUACUAGUCUUUAUUAUACUGGAACAGGACAUAACAUCGGUCGCUAUCUUCAGAACCACACAGCUCUUGAGAUGAUUCACCGAUUAAAUGUAGGCAGAAGCUCCAUAUUACCUGUAAAUGAUUCGGGCAUGUUUCGGAGCUGGAUUGAAGACAGAUAUUUUGUGUUUAAUUUGCCUUCCACACGAGAAAUUACCAAUAGAACAACUCGCAUCAACUUCACAACAAUCCCUUCUUAUGCUGCUCCAAGAGAGCUCUACCAAACCGCUCGGUCCACAGGCAAAGGGAUGAAUCUUACAUGGAAAUUACCUGUAGAUUCAGGUUUCAAGUAUCUUGUGAGACUCCACUUCUGUGAGCUGCAACUGAAUAAAAAAAGAGGAGACAGGGAGUUCCAAAUUUUCAUUGCUAAUAGAAUGGUCGAACCUUCUGCAGAUAUAAUUAGAUGGACUGGU
RNAcentral lists this unclassified non-coding RNA (1079 nucleotides) under Hevea brasiliensis (rubber tree). Lineage: Eukaryota; Viridiplantae; Streptophyta; Magnoliopsida; Malpighiales; Euphorbiaceae. The record is from RNAcentral.